UCCCGUUGAUCCUGCGGGAGGUCGCUGCUAUUGGAAUCCGACUAAGCCAUGCAAGUUUAGGCCUCGCAAGAGACCGGCAUACUGCUCAGUAACACGUCAAUAAUCUACCCUACAGUCAGGGAUAACCUCGGGAAACUGAGUAUAACACCUGAUAAGUGAUUAGUUCUGGAAUGAUUUUUCACUGAAAGGCAACGCUGUAGGAUGAGUUGGCGGCUGAUUAGGUAGUUGGCGGGGUAACGGCCCACCAAGCCUACAAUCAGUAAGGGCCAUGAAAGUGGGAGCCCUGAGAAGGUCACUGAAACACUGGACCUAGCCCUACGGGGUGCAGCAGGCGCGAAACCUUUACAAUGCACGAAAGUGUGAUAAGGGGAUUCCAAGUGCUUAGCUAUGCUAAGCUUUUGCCAAGGGUAAAUACCUUGGAGAAUAAGUGGUGGGCAAGACCGGUGCCAGCAGCCGCGGUAACCCCGGCGCCACAAGUGGGGGCCAGAUUUAUUGGGUCUAAAGCGUUCGUAGCCUGUUUGGAAAAUCCUUUGUGAAAUCGUCAGGCCUAACCUGACGGAUGGCAGAGGACACUACCUGACUUGGGACCGGUAGGGGUUUGGAGUAUUUUGUGGGGAGCGGUAAAAUGCAAUAAUCCACAAAAGACUACCUGUGGCGAAGGCGCCAAACCAGCACGGUUCCGACGGUGAGGAACGAAAGCUAGGGGAGCGAUCCGGAUUAGAUACCCGAGUAGUCCUAGCUGUAAACGCUGCGAGCAAGGUGUCGCGUAUUUUACGUGAAUACGCGGUGUCGAAAUGAAGAUGCUAAGCUCGCCACCUGGGGAGUACGGUCGCAAGACUGAAACUUAAAGGAAUUGGCGGGGGAGCACUACAAGGGGUGCGGCGUGCGGUUUAAUUGAACUCUACGCCGGAAAUCUCACCAAGAGCGACGGCAGGAUGAAAGUCAGAUUAAAGGUCUUACUUAACGAGCCGAGAGGUGGUGCAUGGCCGCCGCCAGCUCGUGCCGUAAGGUGUCCAGUUAAGUCUGGUAACGAGCAAGACCUGUACCCACAAUUGCCAACGAGCCGUAAGGUGAUUGGGCACAAUGUGGGAACUGCGUUGGAAACAACGAGGAAGGUGCAGGCAACGGUAGGUCUGUAUGCCCCGAAUCCCUUGGGCUACACGCGCGCAACAAUGGUAGGGACAAUGGGACGCAACUCUGAAAAGAGAAGCUAAACCUCUAAACCCUAUCCAAGUCCAGAUUGAGGGUUGUAACUCACCCUCAUGACGUUGGAAUCCCUAGUAAUCAGACGUCACUAUCGUCUGGUGAAUAUGUCCCUGCUCCUUGCACACACCGCCCGUCAAACCACUCGAGCAGGGCUUAGGUGAGUGAUAUCUAUUAGGCUAUCCCAAACCUAAGCUCAGUGAGAUGGGUUAAGUCGUCACAAGGUA
RNAcentral lists this ribosomal RNA (1430 nucleotides) under metagenome. RNAcentral describes it as "bacterial SSU rRNA". It matches the Rfam family "Archaeal small subunit ribosomal RNA". The record is from RNAcentral.